RNAcentral lists this unclassified non-coding RNA (343 nucleotides) under soil metagenome. Its description in RNAcentral is "partial contains 5.8S ribosomal RNA, internal transcribed spacer 2, and large subunit ribosomal RNA". The stretch from base 1 to 120 matches the Rfam family "5.8S ribosomal RNA", at positions 35 to 154 of the family's 154-position model. The record is from RNAcentral.
GAUGAAGAACGUAGCGAAAUGCGAUAAGUAAUGUGAAUUGCAGAAUCCAGUAAAUCAUCGAAUCUUUGAACGCACAUUGCGCCCGCCAGCAUUCUGGCGGGCAUGCCUGUUCGAGCGUCAUUUCAACCCUCGACCUCCCUUUGGGGAAGUCGGCGUUGGGGACCGGCAGCACACCGCCGGCCCUGAAAUGGAGUGGCGGCCCGUCCGCGGCGACCUCUGCGUAGUAAACCAACUCGCACCGGAACCCCGACGUGGCCACGCCGUAAAACACCCAACUUCUGAACGUUGACCUCGAAUCAGGUAGGACUACCCGCUGAACUUAAGCAUAUCAAUAAGCGGAGGA